AGACUCAAUCCCUCGGGUUUCCGAGGAGAUUGGACUUGGGUGUUGCCGCUCUGUCGGCUCGCCUUAAAAGACUUAGCGGGAUAGCGCCGUAGUCGGCGUAAUAAGUUUCGUCGGUGAGGGUUGUGAUGACUGCUUACAAUCGCCCUCGGGCAAUUUUUGA
Molecule: unclassified non-coding RNA, 160 nt
Filed under: uncultured Cryptococcus
Lineage: Eukaryota; Fungi; Basidiomycota; Tremellomycetes
Description: sequence contains ITS2
Source: RNAcentral